Molecule: ribosomal RNA, 1428 nt
Filed under: Camponotus atrox
Lineage: Eukaryota; Metazoa; Arthropoda; Insecta; Hymenoptera; Formicidae
Description: 16S ribosomal RNA
Source: RNAcentral
AUUAUUAAAAGAUUAAUUAAUAAAUUUUUAUAUUGAGUAAUUUACAUAUAAAUUUAAUUAAAAUUAUAAAAAAAUAUAAAAUAGUUAGAGUAAUUAAAUUAAAAUAAUUAUUAAAAUUAUAAAAAAGUAAUGUAAGUGAAUAUUAAUAUGAAUAAUUUAAUUUAAAUUAAAAUAAGUAAAUUUAAAUUAUUGUAUCUUUGGUAUCAGGGUUAAUUAAAUAAAAAUUUAAAAUUUUAAAUAAUCUCGAAAAAAAAAGAGUUAAAUAAUUAUGAAAGUUAAUAUAAUAAAAUUAUUUUAAAUGAUUAUUUAGAGAAGAUAUUUUAGUCAAUUUUUUUGAUAUCUAGUUUUUUUUGAUUAAAUUUAAUUUUGAUAUGUAAAUAAAAAUUAUAUAUAUAUAUAUAUAUAUAUUAUAAUAGUUAAUUUAUAAUAUAAAAAAAUGAUACAUAUUAAAAAUUUAUGGGAUAAACUAUAAAUUUAUAUUAAAAUUAAUUUAUGUAAUUAAUUUUAAAAAUAUUCAUAAGAUUUGAAUUUUUUAUAAAUAAUUUAAUAAUUUAUAAAUUUUAAUUAAUAAAAUUUAUAAUUUAAUUUAAUUAAAUAAAAAAAUAUUUAAAAUAAUAAAAUUUUUAAAGUAAAAAUGAUUAUAUUAGUAUUAAAAAUUAAUAAAAAGUAUUAAUAAAAUAUAAUAAAUUUAUUAAAGGAAUUAGGCAAAUAAUAUUAAAUUAGUUAAUUUAAUUUAAUUUUAAGUUCACCUGUUUAAUAAAAACAUGGUUUUAUGUGAUAUAAUAUAAGAUUAAUUCUGCUCCAUGAUAUAAAAUUAAAUAGCCGCAGUAUAUUGACUGUGCAAAGGUAGCAUAAUCAGUUGUUUCUUAAUUAGGAACUGGUAUAAAGGAAUAAAUGAAAUUUAAACUGUCUUUAAUAUAAAUUUAAAAAUUUAAAUUUUUAGUAAAAAUGCUAAAAUAUGAUUAUGGGACGAGAAGACCCUGUAGAAUUUUAUAUAGGACUGAAUAAAUGUAUAAUUGAAUUUAGGUUUAUAUUUAGUUGGGAGGAUUCUUAAAUUUAAAUAACUUUAAGAUUAAAAAAACAUUAAUUUAUGAUUUAUGUUAAAAUGAAUAAAAUUAAAAAUUUUAUGGUAAAAUUAAUUACCUUAGGGAUAACAGCGUAAUAUUUUUAGAAAGAUCUUAUUGAUAAAAAUGAUUGCGACCUCGAUGUUGAAUUAAAAUAAAAAUUAAAUGGAGAAGUUUAAUAUUUUAGUCUGUUCGACUAUUAAAAUUUUACAUGAUUUGAGUUUAGAUCGGUGUGAGCCAGAUCGGAUUCUAUCUAUAAUUAUGUGAAAAUAAUUUUGUACGAAAGGACUGAUUAUUUAAAAAUUUUUUUUUAAUAUUUAAUGAGUGAUUAAUAAUAAUAAAUAUUAUGUAAUAUAAUAUAAAA